This 413-nucleotide ribosomal RNA is filed under the name uncultured bacterium. RNAcentral describes it as "partial 16S ribosomal RNA". It matches the Rfam family "Bacterial small subunit ribosomal RNA", at positions 355 to 762 of the family's 1533-position model. The record is from RNAcentral.
UUGGGGAAUUGACAAUGGCGAAAGCCUGAUCCAGCAAUGCCGCGUGUGUGAAGAAGGCCUUCGGGUUGUAAAGCACUUUUGUCCGGAAAGAAAUCCUUGGCUCUAAUACAGUCGGGGGAUGACGGUACCGGAAGAAUAAGCACCGGCUAACUACGUGCCAGCAGCCGCGGUAAUACGUAGGGUGCAAGCGUUAAUCGGAAUUACUGGGCGUAAAGCGUGCGCAGGCGGUUUGCUAAGACCGAUGUGAAAUCCCCGGGCUCAACCUGGGAACUGCAUUGGUGACUGGGCAGGCUAGAGUAUGGCAGAGGGGGGUAGAAUUCCACGUGUAGCAGUGAAGUGCGUAGAGAUGUGGAGGAAUACCGAUGGCGAAGGCAGCCCCCUGGGCCAAUACUGACGCUCAUGCACGAAAGCGU